RNAcentral lists this long non-coding RNA (2168 nucleotides) under Elaeis guineensis (African oil palm). RNAcentral describes it as "long non-coding RNA (EGUI_LNC081392)". Lineage: Eukaryota; Viridiplantae; Streptophyta; Magnoliopsida; Arecales; Arecaceae. The record is from RNAcentral.
AAAAAGGGUGAUAAUUGACCAAGGCAAAUGCAUGGGAAACUUUCACAUGAAUUGUAAAGUGAAAAAGAAAAAUAUAUCACUUUAACAAAUAGUUAUAUGAAACUACUCACUUUUCUUCCUUCUGAACACAUGGAACUAAGAGUGUAGAAGAAAACUUUCUUCUUUAUUACUGGUUGUGGAAAAUUCCUUCAUAGGUUUCCUAUAUUAUCUAAUACUUGAACAUUCAGUCAAAGUUAACAUGUAAUCAACCAGAACGCUUCACAGAAUGUUGCCUUUGAAAAAAAGAAAAGAAAAAAAGAAAAGAAAAUUUUGCUAUCAGCUCUCCAUAACCUAUUAACAGCUACAUAUAUAUGACCAUUUUAUAGCCCUAGAAACAAGCUUAUGGUAAAUUUCUCUAGAAAGAAAAAGAAACUAGCUAGCAUUAAUCAUGCCUAUGAUUAUGUUUCUAUUUUAGAUUCAUUCUUUUUGUUAUCAUAUGUUUCAUCCAUGAAAAGCCUUCGCCUUUUGUAUCUUAAAAAUGGUUUCAACUUUCAAGUGUCAGCCGUGCCAGUCUGUGCUGGCUGCCACAUAUCGUGCUGUGUUAGUGCUGGAACCUAGAAUAGGUUGGCAUGACACCUACUCAACUCUUGUUUUAAAACUUUUUAGAUAGAGCAUACUGCUAUCCUGUUUCAGGAUGCUCGUGAUCUUCAAAUGUAUAAUAAUAUAUUUUAAAUUUAAGAAUGCACGUUAACAUCCAUUUCACAGAAAAUACUGGGAAUACCAUGUUAAGCAACCUUAAAAGACACAUUACUGUCAACAGCCUAUGAGAUUACGACAUCAUCCAUACAAUUUAGAAGGCAGUAAAGUAUGUUUAAAAAUUCCAAAUUACAAUAUAAAGAAAUAUAUAGCAAUGAAUCAGAUGUGCCGUUGCUAUAUGCACCACAAAUCACCGAGACAAGUGCAUCCCUUUUAAGUAUGUUACUAAGUUAAUGUUAAACAGCAUAACAAACAAUUUUGAAAAAUCAGAUGAAUAAAUUAGAUGCCUUUUAAUGGUGUCAGUACAAGAACAGAUGAUGCCAAUGAGUAAUGACAUUAGCAUAACUGAUGAUAAGUAACAUGUUUCAAAUCAAUCAUUCUACAUUAACACCCUUGAAUGGGCCUGUGCUUGAUUAAUAACAUCUAUAUGAAACAGGGCUCAUGUUACAUGAAAAUGAAAAAUGAAGUUAAAGAUAUUGAUACCAGUGAACAAUCUUAUAGUAAGCCUUAGAUAUUUUCAGAUGCCCCCAUUGGAGGGUAUAACACAUUAAAACCGUAACUCUACCAGCAGAAAGAAGGACCAAACCUUCCCAUAAAACAAUGAAAAUUCAAUUAAUUAUUGAUCUUCAAUUGAAAAUUUAUAACUAUUCAUGAACAUAUUGUAGGAAAUGAAACAAAAGAAGACAGAAGAAUAACUUCUAAGAUGUAAGAGACGUACAGCUUUUAUAUUUUCCCUCUUAUAAUCUAUAACACGAUCAACCCCUAAAGACCUCAAAAGUGCAGCUUUUUUUUCACCUCCACAUGUUGCAACCACCUUGUUUCCUGCCAAUUUUGCAAGCUAACACAGCACAUUGAAGAUAAUUUAGGAACCAUAAAGUCACAUAAAACUGGCAUGCGAGCUAAGCUAUUCUAUACACAUUUCAAACAAUAUAUACAAAAUUCCUAUCUGUACAGAAUAGUUCUCCAUUAAGCUUCCAACACCCAUUUUACUUUUUACACUGCCAGAAUAAUAUAAAAAUGUUUCAUCAAUUAUAUAUAUUAGAAAAGACAUUGAAUAUAUGUAAUAAUUGAACUUCUCAAAACAUUUUUGAAAGGAAAACAGAAUAAAUUCUGAAAUAUAAAAUGGAAAAGCCAAGGUUCGCUGUAUCCGUACUGAAGCGUGGACCGGUUGGUUGGCAGUACAAUUCGGUGUGCCCCUGUAUCAUUCCAUACGGGGCUCAAACCAACACUGCAGGGUGGAGGGAGAAGGAAAGAGAGAGAGGGGGGGUGAGGAAAGCAGAGGGAGAGGAAGAGAGGGCCUCUAGAGGCCCAUCAAGGCCACCGUAGGGCCAUUGUGCCUACUGGAAGGCCGAUGAGGCAUGGGGGAGGGAAAAGGAAAGAGUGAAAAGAGAGGGAAGGAGAGGGCAGAAGAAAAGAGAGGAAGAAAGAGCCUU